UGGCGAACGGGUGAGUAACACGUGAGUAACCUGCCCUUGACUUUGGGAUAACUUCAGGAAACUGGGGCUAAUACCGGAUAGGAGCUCCUGCUGCAUGGUGGGGGUUGGAAAGUUUCGGCGGUUGAGGAUGGACUCGCGGCUUAUCAGCUUGUUGGUGGGGUAGUGGCUUACCAAGGCUUUGACGGGUAGCCGGCCUGAGAGGGUGACCGGCCACAUUGGGACUGAGAUACGGCCCAG
Molecule: ribosomal RNA, 237 nt
Filed under: uncultured Actinomycetales bacterium
Lineage: Bacteria; Bacillati; Actinomycetota; Actinomycetes; Actinomycetales
Description: partial 16S ribosomal RNA
Rfam family: Bacterial small subunit ribosomal RNA
Source: RNAcentral